UACAGAGGGGGCUAGCGUUGUUCGGAAUUACUGGGCGUAAAGGGCGCGUAGGUGGCCUGUUAAGUCGAACGUGAAAUCCCCGGGCUCAACCCGGGAACUGCGUCCGAGACUGGCAGGCUCGAAUCCUGGAGAGGGAUGUGGAAUUCCAGGUGUAGCGGUGAAAUGCGUAGAUAUCUGGAGGAACACCGGUGGCGAAGGCGGCAUCCUGGACCGGCAUUGACGCUGAGGCGCGAAAGCCAGGGGAGCAAACGGG
Molecule: ribosomal RNA, 253 nt
Filed under: uncultured bacterium
Lineage: Bacteria
Description: partial 16S ribosomal RNA
Rfam family: Bacterial small subunit ribosomal RNA
Source: RNAcentral